AAUCCCGCAGGUGAAGAAGCUGGAUGUGGAGGUCCUGGGCUGGCGUGGUUACAGGUGGUCUGUGGUUGUGAGGCUGGUUGGACGUACUGCCAAAUUCUCUAAAAUGAAGGAGGCGGCAUAUGGUAGUGAAAUUAACAUUAAAUUCUCUGGCAACAGUUCUGGUAGAUAUCCCCGCAGUCAGCAUGCCAAUUGCAAGCUCCCUCAAUUUGAGACAUCUGUGGCAUUGUGUUGUGACAAAACUGCACAUUUAAGUGGCCUUUUGUCCCCAGAACAAGUUGCACUUGUGUAAUGAUAAUGCUGUUUAAUCAGCUUCUUGAUAUGCCACACCUGUCAGGUGUAUGGAUUAUCUUGGCAAAUGAGAAAUGCUCACUAACAGGAAUGUAGACAAAUUUCUGCACAAAAUUUGAGAUAUAAACUUCUCGUGCAUAUGGAAAAUCUGCGAUCUUUUAUUUCAGCUCAUGAAACAUGGGACCAACACUUUACAUGUUGCGUUUAUAUUUUUGUUCAGUGUAAUAAAGAAAACACAUGGCCAGGGGUUAGAAGCUGAUGAUGUCUGUUUGUCUGAGCCUUGAUGGACCAGUAUCAUCUUCUCAGUCACCGCCUGGCAUGUACGUCCUGGAUGGCUGGGAGCUCACCCGCAAUGAUGAGCUGGAACGGUCCGUACCACCCUCUGUAGGGCCUUCCGGUCGAGGGCGGUGUAGUUGCUAUAUCAGACGCUUAUACAACCAGUCAGGAUGUUCUCGAUGGUGCAGCUGUAAAAGUUCCUAAGGAUCUGAUGGGCUAUGCCAAAUCAUUUCAGCCUCCAGAGGGAGAAGAGGCACUGCGGUGCCUUCUUUACGACUAUGCUGUUGUAGGAGGACAAUGAUAAGUCUUCAGUGAUGUAGACACAGGAACUUGAAGCUCUUGACCCUCUUCACUGCAGUCCCGUUGAUGGGGCCCCUCUUUCCUGAAUUCCAAGAUCAGCUCAUUGGUCUUGCUGACAUUUAGGGCGAGGUUGUUGUGCUGACCUCUUCCCUAAUGUGCACCCCUUGGGGUCCCAAGGACCGAGUUUGGGAAGCGCUGCUGUAGGCUGUCUCAUCGUCAUUGGUGAUCAGGCAGACCACAGUCGUGUCGUUAGCAAACUUGAUGAUGGAGUUGGAGGCGAG
This 1145-nucleotide long non-coding RNA is filed under the name Salmo salar (Atlantic salmon). RNAcentral's name for it is "lncRNA (ENSSSAG00000118775.1)". The record is from RNAcentral. Lineage: Eukaryota; Metazoa; Chordata; Actinopteri; Salmoniformes; Salmonidae.